Long non-coding RNA from Eucalyptus grandis, 2221 nucleotides. RefSeq lists it as uncharacterized. The transcript is spliced from 3 exons. Lineage: Eukaryota; Viridiplantae; Streptophyta; Magnoliopsida; Myrtales; Myrtaceae. The record is from RefSeq and is a predicted model, not a curated record.
UGAGUUAUGGAAGAGCAAAUAUGCUUAGCAGAAUUAGGUGGAUGAAGUUUGGAUAUCAUUCGAAAGGAAAUGUUAUGGUGGCCCCUUUCUUGCUCUUUCUCUUAGGUCUUUGAGGAACUAAGACUUCACAUGACAUGCGCGCAUGGCAUGUGUAACUAUUUAUUGUCAGUUUCCCAGUUUGGAUGCUGUUUGCAGGGUGACUUCAGGUCUGAUGAACUUGAGAAGAGACAUAAGAAAGUCCUUAUUUGUCGUCCCCUUCUGGCUUCUGGUUUGGGUUUGAUUAUGAUGUCGGUCAUAUUUAUUCCCGCAUAUGGUUUUCUAGAGUGCCUUUUAUGGAAGAUUCCAUGAUUUGUCUAAGAAUUUAACUUUUUUGGAGAUGAUAUAAAGUCCAAUGUGGAGGCUUUUUAUAGCUCAUGGGACACAAGGAGCACAAGAUGAAUUGCGCAUUUACAGAGCCAAUGGUGUCUUUGCCUUACCUUUGUCAAUGUGCCUUUGUCAUGUGUUCAUGAGGCUUUUAACACAUCAGACCAAGGGCAGAGAGACGAAUUGCUUGUUCCCCAUAUUCAAGGUCGUCUGUGGUACAAGCAUAAUACGGGCAUGCCUGAUCCCAAUAAGGAACUUUUCACUGGGGGACUUGGAUGGGUUUGAAACCAGAAUAGUUCCUCUUCUACCACGUGCUGAAAAUAUGGGUAUCCUACCAAUAACUGGAAGGGCUAGGUUGCUCAAUUGAGGGGAGUGGGUUGAGGCUUCUCUGCUUGCAGUUGUGUUGGGAUUUAGCAAGCUGUCCAUCAUUGCUUUUCUGUACAACGCUCUGACAACAAUGGUUUUCUGUUCCAAAGAUAGUUACUUUUAAUCAUCGGAGGGGAUAUCUCCAAUUCUUGCCAGCCAGUAUGUUGUGGUCUCUCUGGGAAAUGCUCCCCAAGCAUGGUUAUUGUGAAUGCUAUUAGAUGUGGAAUUAUUUACUUCUGUCCAGCUCCCGAUCUUUGUACUGAUGUAGAGGUCUUGGUGUAUCUCCGUCGCCUCCUAGGACCUGAAUUCAUUGUGGGGUUCGCCUAUGGUUUUCCUUCACAGUUGGUUAAGCAUGAUGCAAUCUCAUCUGACUAGGAACAUGUAUUACUCUACUGUCUUGAGAUUUACUUGUACGCUUAUAUUUGAAAACAUCUCUAGGACCCAUGAUUAUGAUGAUGGAGCUAUUGGUAGAAGUUUGAUAUUUGUAUUUAACUCCUUUCAGAAUCCCUCUCUUUAAUUUGACGUUUGAACGAAGUUAUGAUGCUCUCUCUCUUGACUGUUCUUUCUUUCGUUGGAUAACAAGUGGGAGAAGCAGGUCAUCUUGCAGAUUAUGAAUCUGUUUAUGUGAAGAAGCUGGGAUCUUCUAUUUCCAUUAACCUCAGCUCCAGGUUGUUGUGCUGAUUUCGAAUCUGUCUGGAGCCAGGUCCAUUGAUCUGUGUUCCUUAGCUCCUUUAUUCAUCAUCUCUUCCAAUUUUCUGGCAUUGUUAUUAUAUAUGUAUAUUAUGUGGUGGCAGAGCCACGCUUAAUUGCAAGGAGGUAGUGUCAACGUUAGUGAACUGUCCACAAACUUUCUGCAAAUCCAUGUUGAUAAGAGGGGUGAGUUUUAGCGUGAUUCAUGUGUCCUUUGUACUAAGAUGGGCUAUGACACUUGUUCUGGAUCAUUUUACAAAUGUGACAUUUGUAUUCAUAUGUAAAAGGAGCUUCUGUGGCACAAGUAACAGUUUUUAGCAUGCGUUUUGUAAACAGAGUUGGGUCUUUCCGUCUAUAAUCUGGAUAUUAGUGCACUGGUUAUGCAACUAUCGUGCCAACCUCAGCACUGGUGAAAAAUUGCGGUGAGGAAGGCUACUUUCAGCAAUGUGGCAGCCAUUGAAUUUUGCUAGAGUGCAACUAUGGUGGAUAGGUUGGCUACAUAGAAUGCAAUUUUGUCUUGAUUAAAGAACUAUACCUUAUCCCAUCUGGAGUAGAAAACCUGCUGCUCUGCUGAAUGCUUUUGUUUCCUUUUGUCGUAGUUAAGUCAACAGAAACAUCUAGAAGAUAAGAGUUGUCUUCAUUGUGAUGUGGCCAGAGGAGAGCGGGACCAGACCACUUGUUGCUGCUCAAGUAGGGAUGGAUGUAGAGUUGUUGGAAUAUGUGUUGUCAAGGGAGCAAUUGAAACUAGAUGGUUGCCGUACUGUAAUUCUCAAUUCCUAUUGAUAAUCUGCUCCUUUUUAUC